Molecule: ribosomal RNA, 329 nt
Filed under: uncultured eukaryote
Lineage: Eukaryota
Description: partial 18S ribosomal RNA
Rfam family: Eukaryotic small subunit ribosomal RNA
Source: RNAcentral
CCCUUAGAUGUCCUGGGCUGCACGCGCGCUACACUGACGAGCUCAACGAGCUUAUCACCUUGGCAGAGAUGUCUGGGUAAUCUUUUGAAAGUUCGUCGUGCUGGGGAUAGAUGAUUGUAAUUAUUCGUCUUGAACGAGGAAUUCCUAGUAAGUGUGAGUCAUCAGCUCGCGCUGAUUACGUCCCUGCCCUUUGUACACACCGCCCGUCGCUCCUACCGAUUGAAUGGUCCGGUGAGGUUCUCGGAUUUUUUCUGUUGUUUGGUUCGCUAAACGAUUGAAGAGAGAAGUUACCCAAACCUUACCAUUUAGAGGAAGGAGAAGUCGUAACA